This is a long non-coding RNA of Cyprinus carpio carpio, 1523 nucleotides long. Lineage: Eukaryota; Metazoa; Chordata; Actinopteri; Cypriniformes; Cyprinidae. The record is from Ensembl.
CCAGCAUGUCCCGUUCCACAAGCUUCAAUAAAACAAAUGUGACUGCUUUUUAUAACAACCUGCAGACAGUUCUUGCCUGCUACCUUUUUGAAGCAAAGGACAUUUGGAACGUGGAUGAAACAGGUACCACGACAGUCCAAGUGCUUGAUAAAAUAAUCGCCACCAAGGGGAAGCGCCAGGUCGAUGCAGUGACCUCUGGGGAGAGGGGGACAUUGCUCACCAUAGCCCUUGCAGUAAAUGCACAAGGCAAUUGCAUUCCCCCGUACUUCAUCUUUCCCAGGAAGGAAGACCACUUUGUGAGAAAUGGUCCCAUUGGCUCUGUUGGUUCUGCAAAUAGCUCAGGCUGGAUGCAGGAUACAGACUUUCUGGCCUUUCUCCAGACACACACCCGUGUGACCCUGGAGUCGAAGGUGCUUCUCCUCCCCGACAAUCAUUGGUCACACCUUUCUGUGGCAGCAAUUGACUUUUGUCGGUCAAACGGCAUAGUCCUACUAUUGUUCCCACCCCACUGCUCACAUCGUCUCCAGCCAUUGACAGGAGCGUCUUCAGUCCACUGAAGCGAUAUAUAAACACGGCAGCAGAUCACUGGAUGAGAACACACCCUGGAAAAACUUUGACCAUCUAUGAUGUUCCAAGACUAGCUCUGCCACGAGCAGCGACACCCAGAAAUAUAAUGUCUGGCUUUGUGUGCACUGGCAUCUGCCCCUUUAACCCAGAUACUUUUGAGGAGCGAGACUUUUCACCUGUCUACGUCACCGACCGCCCUUGUCCUUCAUUGGUACCAUGUGGUCCCACACCACAUUCCAACAAACAUCCACUCAGCCAGAGCCUGUUUGAGGGAGGGCUGCUGCCAGAGUAUCCUGGUGGUUCAACCAGGGACGCCUGUUUAGAGUCUGUCAUCCCUGACCACACAGCUGUCUGUUCAGUAAGCUGUCCCACCUGAAGAAGGCGGAAAAUGUCUGCUUGAUGUCCCGGGGGGAGAGACAGGCACACUAGUCUAGGCACUUCUUCUUUCCAGGCAUUCAUUUUCAGAAGCUGUACGUCCCUUUCCUAAGGCUGGUCCGAGAAAGGACACAAAAUGAAGAGGCAAAAGGAGGUCAACGGUGAUACUAAUGGACUCUCCGGGGAAGGCAGCUCUGGACGAGGAGCAAAAGAAGAGGAUCCAGAAGACGAAUCACUCCCAAUCCCAAUCGCCGGAGUACUGAUCACCUGCACCCAGCAAUCACUCACCUGGAUAAAGCCAUCAUCACGCCAGUACUCUGUCGUCCGGUCUACCGUUCACUACUCCGAACUGGUGCCUGACCCAUCUCCUCUAAACUUGCUCUUUCUCUGCCCUCAGAUCCCCAUUGACGUUCUCCAGUGAUUCUCCAUUGCUGUCUCCCCAUGUCUCACUCUCCAGAGCUCUGGGCUUCAUCCAUUCAGUGACUUACCAUAUCGUUGUCAUACUGCAUUCUGUAAAUAAACUAUCUGCUUAACUAACCCUCCGUCUGUAUCUUGGUUUGUGACACCUCACUAUCGAAAAC